This 83-nucleotide transfer RNA is filed under the name Felis catus (domestic cat). It matches the Rfam family "tRNA". Rfam says of the family: Transfer RNA (tRNA) molecules are approximately 80 nucleotides in length. Their secondary structure includes four short double-helical elements and three loops (D, anti-codon, and T loops). Further hydrogen bonds mediate the characteristic L-shaped molecular structure. tRNAs have two regions of fundamental functional importance: the anti-codon, which is responsible for specific mRNA codon recognition, and the 3' end, to which the tRNAs corresponding amino acid is attached (by aminoacyl-tRNA synthetases). tRNAs cope with the degeneracy of the genetic code in two manners: having more than one tRNA (with a specific anti-codon) for a particular amino acid; and 'wobble' base-pairing, i.e. permitting non-standard base-pairing at the 3rd anti-codon position. The record is from Rfam by way of RNAcentral. Lineage: Eukaryota; Metazoa; Chordata; Mammalia; Carnivora; Felidae.
ACCUGGGUGGCUCAGUGGUUGAGCGUCUGACUUCGGCUCAGGUCAGGAUCUCUGGUUUGUGAGUUCAAUCCCCACGUCAGGCU